UAUUUAUUAGUUUAAUAUAAAACAUUAUAUUUUCAAUAUAAAAAUAAUCUUAUUAUAAAUAU
RNAcentral lists this transfer RNA (62 nucleotides) under Uroleucon sonchi. RNAcentral describes it as "tRNA-Glu". The record is from RNAcentral. Lineage: Eukaryota; Metazoa; Arthropoda; Insecta; Hemiptera; Aphididae.